AGGGCCCCUUUUGGAAGUUUGUGAAUAGGUCAAGCAGCUCCAAAUGACUGCAUUUCAUUAUUGGAAAAGUAAUUCUAUAUUUGUUUCAAAAAAAUUGGCCGCCGAACACCUCUUGACUGCUGAGCUGUUAAUGUCCCUUUGUUUUUAGGGGAAAUAGAUAGUUCCAACACAAGGACUCCCCCAUUCUUUUUCUUUUUAAGACACAGAUCAAUGAUCUCUACUGAUUUUCCAAACUCUAAUUUGCAAUUUAAU
This 252-nucleotide unclassified non-coding RNA is filed under the name Hevea brasiliensis (rubber tree). Lineage: Eukaryota; Viridiplantae; Streptophyta; Magnoliopsida; Malpighiales; Euphorbiaceae. The record is from RNAcentral.